UACGGAGGGGGCAAGCGUUAUCCGGAUUCACUGGGUUUAAAGGGAGCGUAGGUGGGAUGGUAAGUCAGUGGUGAAAUCUCCGGGCUUAACUCGGAAACUGCCGUUGAUACUAUCAUUCUUGAAUAUUGUGGAGGUAAGCGGAAUAUGUCAUGUAGCGGUGAAAUGCUUAGAUAUGACAUAGAACACCAAUAGCGAAGGCAGCUUGCUACACAAUUAUUGACACUGAGGCGCGAAAGCGUGGGGAGCAAACAGG
Molecule: ribosomal RNA, 253 nt
Filed under: uncultured bacterium
Lineage: Bacteria
Description: partial 16S ribosomal RNA
Rfam family: Bacterial small subunit ribosomal RNA
Source: RNAcentral